RNAcentral lists this ribosomal RNA (255 nucleotides) under uncultured bacterium. RNAcentral's name for it is "partial 16S ribosomal RNA". It matches the Rfam family "Bacterial small subunit ribosomal RNA", at positions 524 to 776 of the family's 1533-position model. The record is from RNAcentral.
UACGUAGGGAGCUAGCGUUGUCCGGAAUCAUUGGGCGUAAAGGGCGCGUAGGCGGUCAGCACAAGUCAGUUGUGAAAUCCUGCCGGACUUACGUACGGAAGUCAACUGAUACUGUGCGACUAGAGUGCAGAAGGGGCAACUGGAAUUCUCGGUGUAGCGGUGAAAUGCGUAGAUAUCGGGAGGAACACCAGUGGCGAAGGCGACUUCCUGGCCUGUUCUUGACGCUGAGGCGCGAAAGCUAGGGUAGCAAACGGG